GCCGCUCGGAUUCUUCUUUUGUCUCAUUGGAAUUGUGCGCUGCCGCUCGCGAACACGCACAGCAGACACUCAGACACAUUUUGUUAUGGUACAAAUAUUUGAACGAAAAACAUGAAUUGCAGAUCAACAACAUUCGAGUUGGCAACCCCCUCCCCCCCCCCGACGACGCACCAUGUUUUGGGGACGACAUAAGCAGGUUUUUCUCGGCAGUCUGAGUCUGCUCCCGGCGGUCUUGACAAUGACUCCUGUUCUGUGUAUGGCACUGGUAGAAUUCACUGUGAGAGCUCACUAUCAGUGAAUUACCAUAGGGCCAUAAACAGAGCAGAGAAAGAACCACUCUGGCCCGCCGCCGCCGCACACUCAGGCAGCUCUCUGGUGGUGUUUGGCAAUGGUAGAACUCACACUGGUGAGCUAGAAGGAUCCGGUGGUUCUAGACUUGCCAACUACUGCUCGAGAGCCUCCACCUGCAAGAGAGAAAAAGAAAACCAAGACCCCCUCCUCCGUCCCACCCCGUUCUGCGUCCUGCCUCCAGUCCCAGGUCAAUGAGUGAGUGGCUGUUGGUGGUGAAGGGCGGGGUGACGCUCUGUUCUUCCCCUGCACACCACAGCCUCAUAGCUCCCCCCCCCUUCCAGGAACGCAACACGCCACUAACACGACCAAUCCAGGUAAAAAAACAUUUUUUUUUAGUUUCUCAGCUGGAAUCUGAUGGAUGGGCAAAUGAAAUGAUGUAUAACUUUUUAUUCAUUUCACACUAAUGGAAAACAAAAAGCUAAAAAAAAAAAAAAAAAAAUCACACGUGUCUCAGUUAAAGUUCACCUAAUGACAAAAAAUAUUAAGAAAGAUAAUAGACAAACAAGGUUUGCGUCUCUUAACAAAAUAAUUUAAAAAGCAAUGUAACAAAACAACCAAAUAGUUACUUUUAAAUUGUAUUAUUUGAAUUGUAUAUCAAAUAAUCUAUUUUUAUUUAAUAUACAGUGGUGCCUUGAUAUACGAGUGACCCAAGCCGAUGAUGAACAAUACUUCAACAAAAAGGGGCGUCAAGCUGUUUUUUUGCCCAGUUGAAGUUUAAUGUAAAACAAAGAGAAUUACACAUUAUGUAUUUAAAGCAACCACACACCUUUGCCUUCCGCUAGUGUAAUGCUAACGCAGAAUGCAAAACACCAUAGAGGAAUAGCAUCAAUAGUCGCAAUGUUAUAACCCUUCAGAUAUUUGAACACAUUUGGUGCAUCAACACAUGUAGACAGACAAUAUAAUAACACUCACAGGCAUAUAUCUUCUUCAUCCUCUGUGAUAAAUGACUAAUAUCAUGGCAGCUUACUGACUCACCGUAGUUGUAAAAGUCUUCUUCGUUUGUGUCUUCAUGAAACAAAUCAAAUCAAACUUUAUUUAUAGAGAUUACUUUUCAUACAAUGAUAUGCAUCUCAA
Long non-coding RNA from Phyllopteryx taeniolatus (common seadragon), 1425 nucleotides. RefSeq lists it as uncharacterized. NCBI's taxonomy places the organism in Eukaryota, Metazoa, Chordata, Actinopteri, Syngnathiformes, Syngnathidae. The transcript is spliced from 3 exons. The record is from RefSeq and is a predicted model, not a curated record.